UUCCAAAAGGUACACCUGUUUGAGUG
Molecule: ribosomal RNA, 26 nt
Filed under: Uromyces phaseoli
Lineage: Eukaryota; Fungi; Basidiomycota; Pucciniomycetes; Pucciniales; Pucciniaceae
Description: partial 5.8S ribosomal RNA
Source: RNAcentral